Molecule: ribosomal RNA, 813 nt
Filed under: Arthrobacter sp. PF6
Lineage: Bacteria; Bacillati; Actinomycetota; Actinomycetes; Micrococcales; Micrococcaceae
Description: bacterial SSU rRNA
Rfam family: Bacterial small subunit ribosomal RNA
Source: RNAcentral
UUGUGCUUGCACAGAAUGAUUAGUGGCGAACGGGUGAGUAACACGUGAGUAACCUGCCCCUGACUCUGGGAUAAGCCUGGGAAACUGGGUCUAAUACUGGAUAUGCACCGUAGACCGCAUGGUUUUUGGUGGAAAGAAUUUUGGUCAGGGAUGGACUCGCGGCCUAUCAGCUUGUUGGUGAGGUAAUGGCUCACCAAGGCGACGACGGGUAGCCGGCCUGAGAGGGUGACCGGCCACACUGGGACUGAGACACGGCCCAGACUCCUACGGGAGGCAGCAGUGGGGAAUAUUGCACAAUGGGCGAAAGCCUGAUGCAGCGACGCCGCGUGAGGGAUGACGGCCUUCGGGUUGUAAACCUCUUUCAGUAGGGAAGAAGCGAAAGUGACGGUACCUGCAGAAGAAGCGCCGGCUAACUACGUGCCAGCAGCCGCGGUAAUACGUAGGGCGCAAGCGUUAUCCGGAAUUAUUGGGCGUAAAGAGCUCGUAGGCGGUUUGUCGCGUCUGCCGUGAAAGUCCGAGGCUCAACUUCGGAUCUGCGGUGGGUACGGGCAGACUAGAGUGAUGUAGGGGAGACUGGAAUUCCUGGUGUAGCGGUGAAAUGCGCAGAUAUCAGGAGGAACACCGAUGGCGAAGGCAGGUCUCUGGGCAUCUACUGACGCUGAGGAGCGAAAGCAUGGGGAGCGAACAGGAUUAGAUACCCUGGUAGUCCAUGCCGUAAACGUUGGGCACUAGGUGUGGGGGACAUUCCACGUUUUCCGCGCCGUAGCUNACGCAUUAAGUGCCCCGCCUGGGGAGUACGGCCGCAAGGCUAAA